CAAUAGCGUAUAUUAAAGUUGUUGCAGUUAAAAAGCUCGUAGUUGAAUGUUGGUGUCGAACGAGCGGUCAGCUUCGGCUGUACUGCUCUCUCGACUCCUUCCUUCUGUGGACUACGUCGCACUUUACUGUGUGGCGCUAGGACGCAGAUCGUUUACUGUGAAAAAAUUAGAGUGUUCAAAGCAGGCCGUACGCUUGAAUACAUUAGCAUGGAAUAAUGGAAUAGGACGUCGGGCCUAUUUUGUUGGUUCUAGGACCGUCGUAAUGAUUAAUAGGGACAGUUGGGGCCGUUUAUAUUCCGUAGUCAGAGGUGAAAUUCUUGGAUUUACGGAAGAUAAACUACUGCGAAAGCAUUCGGCAAGGAUGUUUUCGUUAA
RNAcentral lists this ribosomal RNA (374 nucleotides) under uncultured eukaryote. Its description in RNAcentral is "partial 18S ribosomal RNA". It matches the Rfam family "Eukaryotic small subunit ribosomal RNA", at positions 592 to 976 of the family's 1831-position model. The record is from RNAcentral.